UACGUAGGGUGCGAGCGUUAAUCGGAAUUACUGGGCGUAAAGUGUGCGCAGGCGGCCGCGCAAGUCGAGUGUGAAAGCCCCGAGCUUAACUUGGGAACUGCGCUCGAAACUACGUGGCUGGAGUGUGGCAGAGGAAGGUGGAAUUCCACGUGUAGCGGUGAAAUGCGUAGAUAUCUGGAGGAACACCGGUGGCGAAGGCGGCAUCCUGGACCAACACUGACGCUGAGUGAGCGAAAGCCAGGGGAGCAAACGGG
Molecule: ribosomal RNA, 254 nt
Filed under: uncultured bacterium
Lineage: Bacteria
Description: partial 16S ribosomal RNA
Rfam family: Bacterial small subunit ribosomal RNA
Source: RNAcentral